AUAUGAACUACAGCACAAAAUUUCUGAUGGCUUGCAAAUUUGGUGAAUCCAAUGGCCAGGGACCAAGGAACUGCUUCAGGUGACAGCACUUGUUUCAUAGCAGCCAUGGCAACUAAUUUCAUAGUACAAAAUAAAGAUCACCACCAGAAUUCUAUGUUUUCUUUACAACCUCUUCACUAUUUGAAACCCAUAUUCCUGUAUCCCAUUAGGAUGAAAAAUGACCUUCAAAGCAGUUAACCACAAAAAUGAAUAUAAAACCAUGUGUACAGCUCAAAUCAGUUACUAUACAAC
Rhineura floridana is the source of this 291-nucleotide long non-coding RNA. RefSeq lists it as uncharacterized. The record is from RefSeq and is a predicted model, not a curated record. The transcript is spliced from 3 exons. NCBI's taxonomy places the organism in Eukaryota, Metazoa, Chordata, Lepidosauria, Squamata, Rhineuridae.